RNAcentral lists this ribosomal RNA (253 nucleotides) under uncultured bacterium. RNAcentral's name for it is "partial 16S ribosomal RNA". It matches the Rfam family "Bacterial small subunit ribosomal RNA", at positions 524 to 776 of the family's 1533-position model. The record is from RNAcentral.
UACGUAGGGGGCAAGCGUUGUCCGGAAUCAUUGGGCGUAAAGAGCGUGUAGGCGGCUUGGUAAGUCCGCUGUGAAAGUCCAGGGCUCAACCCUGGAAAGCCGGUGGAAACUGUCAAGCUUGAGUCCGGAAGAGGCGAGUGGAAUUCCUGGUGUAGCGGUGAAAUGCGUAGAUAUCGGAAGGAACACCAGUGGCGAAAGCGGCUUCCUGGUCCAGCACCGACGUUCAGGCACGAAAGCGUGGGGAGCAAACAGG